CUCAGAAUCUACAAAUCCUUUGCUGUCUUCUUCCACUGAGACCUGCCUAGGUUUCCCUAGUCUGGUGCCUUGAGAAACCAGAUGCAACAGCAAGCAUGAAUCUUCAUUCUCCUUUGAUCAUGGCCAUAGGAUUCUGUCUCCAACCACUGAUUUCCUCCUCCUUUUCCAGGCUCAAGGAAGAGGACAAACAGAGACUCUGGCAGCUGUCAAAUGUUAGGUAACUGGAAGAGUGGGCCAUGCCCUUGGAGAAGAUCAGGACACGCAGAAGCCUGACCCACAGUUCAGAGGAAAAGUCUUCUCAGCAGAGCAUCCCACCAGCACAGCUGUGUUGCAGGAGCCCAACCAGAGCUCAGCUGUGUUAUUUACCCUACCAGGUCCCAGCUGUCAACCUGGCCUGGCAUCCUGACAGCCUACGGCACAAAUGCCCUUAGCCAGCUGCUUGGCUCGAUGUACAAUUCUCUCUUUUUAAAUGAGAUUAGCGAUGGUGAAAUGUGCUAGCUCAACGGGCGUGCUGAUCCAAGUCCUCUGUUUACUCGGGCUACAGCAGAUACAGAGAUCACUUUUAAAAAAAUCUGCGAUUUUAAAAGAUGCCAUGAAUUCGCCUGAGCUCCUGCAGCUGCUCAUUCAUCACAGGAUGAAGAGGGGUUUAUUACAGAUCCACUGAGAACUGAGGACUGGAAAGGAUGAAUCUUGAAACUGUGUUAUGAAUAACAAUACCAGAUUCUGUCCUGGUGUCCCUGGAUUACCUGGACAUUUUCUUAAGACUUCUCCUUUGACUGCCCUGAAGCAAAUGCAGGCAGAACUGAGGAUCUCAGCCUCUUCUCCAGCACUGGCAGAAGUUAUCCAUUGUCAUCGCUGGUCUGUGAGUGUUUGCAGAAGAAGUAGGGGCAGGAGAGCAAAUUCCAACUUUUCUGUCCUGCAGCAAUCCCCUCGGCAGAUGCAGGGUCCUGGCUGACAUGGAAGUGUCUGCAUAUAGUGUGGUAUUUUCUGGGCAGGGUAAGCCUGGCCACCUGCAAGGACCUGCAAGGCCCUGGACCUCGUCUCUGACAGCAAUCACAGGUAAGUACAUGGGGGAGGACCCUAUCCUCUUGCCUGGGGUGCUCCUACUUUUGUUGCCCCAGCUGCAGACUCUGGAUUAUUUGUGUCAGCCCUAAGAGCCCUGCAGCAAAAUUGUUCACAGCCUUUCAGCAGAGACCACUCCAAACAGUUACACAAACAGUUACACUUUGGAAACAGGUUUGAGAAAGCUUCAUUUUCCCUGAGGCUUGCUUUUCCUUGUAUGCAUCUCAGGUCUAGUUCCAGAGGAAAGGAAACCAUAGCCUAAGUCUUGUGCAGCUAUUUAAGCAGAAAAGGAAUUCUGGAUGUCCUCAGGUUAUGGAGAGCGGGAUGGGGAAAGCUCAGGUGUGAGACAGCUGAUGGACCAUGGACAACAUGGAUGCUGCUGAGGGAGGUCAUGGUAUGAAAUGUGGUAUUCCAAGGGACAAUGUGAAAAGCACCACAGAGGCCAUGGGAACACCAAGAGCUCUUUAAUAAAUAGCCACGCUCAAGGUAAGAUGAGACAAUGCACACAAUGAAAGGAAUUUGAGGUACACUGUAUGAAUUUUGAGCCAAUGUGUUCUGUCUUGGUAUGGUGUCUGGGUUUCCUUCUGCUCCUCUAAACAAUGGCUUCUCUUCAUGUCCUCAAAAUAAAAGAUGAUUUUUAAAGCUGAUGUGUAUUUUACAGCAACAUGCUAGUGAUGAAAAGAGAGAAAAUUACAACAAAUUUAUAGGCAACAUGUUUUAGCAAAUAGAAUUAUGCUAUAUAAAGCAAUAAUGUUUAAAAACCAAUUCAUUACAGGUAAAGUGUAUGACAACAAAUCUUAAUACAACCAAAGAAACAAGAUUGAUAGAGCACAUCUUGUGCCACUAUAGGCAGAGUUCUUGACUUUUAAGGACAGCCUGUUGCAUGUUGCAUACAGGUAUCUGUUACAUGAGCACACAAAAGCUCUGGCUCCAGCUUUCAGGCCCAGCUGCUCAUUGUGGAGCAGACUCCUUCCCUCUGAUGCUGGGGAAGGGGGCAGACAUGAACUGCUCAGACCCUGCUUGUUUCUUGGACGAGCUGAGAGGUGCACAAGAGCAGCUCUUCUUCCCUUGCAGAGGAUUUUCUUGCUUUGUGCCCCCAUCCCUUCCUUCUGGAGGAGCAAUCUGUUCCCUGGAGACACUCACUGCUUGUCCCUCUCAGGCUCCCUCAGUGAGCAGCCUCGUUUCCUCCACAACCACACAGCGGUUUCCUGAGCCACUGGGCGAGGAGCUCUGUUCCUCUAAGAGGAGGAGCAGCAAACAGCUGUGUCUCAAUUGGGGCCAGUCUGCCAAGCACUGCCUGUCUGACCCCCAGCACACCCUCCUCCCCUCCUGGGGUCUUCACUGCUUGGGCGCCGAGCCGGCCUGGCUGGGGGGUGCAGGUGUCACACCUUGAAUCAAACAUUUGGGAAGACACCUGGAGAAGCCUUGGUGAGGAUGGAAUGGCUGUCCUUCUCUCCGGAGGUGCCCUUAGGCUGGGCACUCCCCUCAUGCCCUGCAGCCACUCCGCAGCCGAGCCUGUGGCCGUGCCUGUGCUCCAGACUGGCCACGCACCCGAGAUGGGCCCGGGUCAAGGAAUGCAAGAAGCACACGCAGCUUGUUCACAAAGCCUGCCUGGCACUGGAAACAAAGCACCAUAUGCUCGAGCAGCCGGAGCAAAAGGACGAGCCCAAGGCAAAGGGAGCCGGGAGCAGAAGGGCGAGGGAGGUGCACAGGGGAAGCACCAGGACACCUUGCUUCAUGCUCCCCCACUCCUCCUUAUGGGCACUGAGGGGUGACUCAGAGGUGCCUCCUCUCCUCUCCCCGCAGCUCUGAGAGGGGGCUUUCCCCACUUCUUUUUCUGAUACCCUGCCUCUAGGGGCAGUAGGUGGCUACUCUAUGGGCAUCUUCCCCUUUUUACUGCUUUUGGACACCGUCACCGCCCUCCUCUUUGCCUUACAGCCUCCCCUGCUGUCUUAGCUGCAGGUGAAACCAAUGGCAGGAUCACUAACCUGGACAAGGAGAUGAGGUCCUGUCCAUGUGCCAUGGUCCCAGCACAGAGCACGGCAGGCAAGCUCUGGUGCCACUGUCACUGACACCUGAGGCACCAAGGGUGCCUGCACUGCUGGCCUGUCAUGCUGGGCCUGCUGCAUCCAGGCUCAGACUGGAAAGAUGCAGAGUUUUAAUUAACAGGGAAUCAGCUAGGGCUUUCCUUUUUAAGGAUGCAUAGUGGGGGCUGAUAAAAUUUUGUUUUGGUUUAUUGGCUUUGAAAUGUGUGACUUCCAUGUUUGUCCUAAAUUGUAUGUAUUUGUUAACAUUUCUUCUUUUCCUGGACAACCUCCAGAAAUAUACCUGUAUUAGGAACUGAGAAAAAUAGUUUAUUGACUCAUUUGAAAUAUUUUUAACCAUGUCACUUGUAUUCAAUACUCAGUUUCAUAUAGGGAAAGAAAACAUAAAACCAGGGCUGCAUAAACAUCACCACUACAACACGCUGUGGAAACAAUCUCUGAAGAGCCCCCUGCGUUGUCCAGCUCUUCCUGGAGCUUCUGACCCAAGAAUCACAGGUCAGCCCCAGAACAUCCCAUGUCUUCUUGCUGUCACGCUGGCCUCAUGGAUGAGGGAUACAAAGCCUGCCUUCAGCCCCUGGGAGUCGCUGCAGGUGUCCCAGGGACACUUGUGUGGAACAUCCCCUGUGGGGAGGAAGAACUCAGCAAAUCUCUAAAUCAUCACUUUGGUGCCUGAGAACUUAUAGGCCUUAGAAAAUGAACUUUGUCUGACUCUCCUUUUUUUCCAUUUCAGUGUUUUCCUUCCACCUUACAUUUUACAGUCCUCUCCAAAGCCCAGCCCAGCCUGCAGACCUGCACAGGAUCUUCUGUCCCGCAGAACAGGUUUAGGGAGGUUGUCAUGUGGCAGUUCCACGAUGUACAUAAGUAAGGGAGCUACAAGGACUGCACAUGUCACACAAAACCAAACUAAAUUAUAGGCUGCCUUUCACGGGUUUCUGGUGACUUCAGAAGCACAGCAAGGGCCUCUAUAAUAGUUAUGACUUACUGACAUGGUAUUAUUUCUGUGCAGGAGCAGGACAAUGAAGACACAGGGUGGUUGCACCAUGGAAGCAGUACCAUAGGGAAAGACUUCACCAUUUCCAUGCAGGAAUAAAAGAACAAGGCACACCUUUCUGGGAUGUGUUUUGAUGCAGUAUUUGGUAUUUAGUGCCUGGAUAACAUUACUGACCUUCAGAGCUUUGCUGUACUCAGUAAAGUAGUAUCAAAUAAAAUACAAAGUUCUACA
Long non-coding RNA from Corvus hawaiiensis (hawaiian crow), 4329 nucleotides. RefSeq lists it as uncharacterized. The transcript has 3 exons. The record is from RefSeq and is a predicted model, not a curated record. Lineage: Eukaryota; Metazoa; Chordata; Aves; Passeriformes; Corvidae.